Molecule: ribosomal RNA, 119 nt
Filed under: Triticum aestivum (bread wheat)
Lineage: Eukaryota; Viridiplantae; Streptophyta; Magnoliopsida; Poales; Poaceae
Also listed under: 1 other name
Source: RNAcentral
UGAUGCGAUCAUACCAGCACUAAAGCACCGGAUCCCAUUAGAACUCCGAAGUUAAGCGUGCUUGGGCGAGAGUAGUACUAGGAUGGGUGACCUCCUGGGAAGUCCUCGUGUUGCAUUCC